Molecule: ribosomal RNA, 1020 nt
Filed under: Coniochaeta sp. MR-2021a
Lineage: Eukaryota; Fungi; Ascomycota; Sordariomycetes; Coniochaetales; Coniochaetaceae
Description: SSU rRNA
Rfam family: Eukaryotic small subunit ribosomal RNA
Source: RNAcentral
AUUAUACCGCGAAACUGCGAAUGGCUCAUUAAAUCAGUUAUCGUUUAUUUGAUAGUACCUUACUACUUGGAUAACCGUGGUAAUUCUAGAGCUAAUACAUGCUAAAAAUCCCGACUUCGGAAGGGAUGUAUUUAUUAGAUUAAAAACCAAUGCCCUUCGGGGCUCUCUGGUGAUUCAUAAUAACUUCUCGAAUCGCACGGCCUUGCGCCGGCGAUGGUUCAUUCAAAUUUCUGCCCUAUCAACUUUCGACGGCUGGGUCUUGGCCAGCCAUGGUGACAACGGGUAACGGAGGGUUAGGGCUCGACCCCGGAGAAGGAGCCUGAGAAACGGCUACUACAUCCAAGGAAGGCAGCAGGCGCGCAAAUUACCCAAUCCCGACUCGGGGAGGUAGUGACAAUAAAUACUGAUACAGGGCUCUUUUGGGUCUUGUAAUUGGAAUGAGUACAAUUUAAAUCCCUUAACGAGGAACAAUUGGAGGGCAAGUCUGGUGCCAGCAGCCGCGGUAAUUCCAGCUCCAAUAGCGUAUAUUAAAGUUGUUGCAGUUAAAAAGCUCGUAGUUGAACCUUGGGCCUGGCUGGCCGGUCCGCCUCACCGCGUGCACUGGUCCGGCCGGGCCUUUCCCUCUGGGGAACCGCAUGCCCUUCGCUGGGUGUGUCGGGGAACCAGGACUUUUACUUUGAACAAAUUAGAUCGCUUAAAGAAGGCCUAUGCUCGAAUACAUUAGCAUGGAAUAAUAGAAUAGGACGUGUGGUUCUAUUUUGUUGGUUUCUAGGACCGCCGUAAUGAUUAAUAGGGACAGUCGGGGGCAUCAGUAUUCAAUUGUCAGAGGUGAAAUUCUUGGAUUUAUUGAAGACUAACUACUGCGAAAGCAUUUGCCAAGGAUGUUUUCAUUAAUCAGGAACGAAAGUUAGGGGAUCGAAGACGAUCAGAUACCGUCGUAGUCUUAACCAUAAACUAUGCCGACUAGGGAUCGGACGAUGUUAUAUUUUGACUCGUUCGGCACCUUACACGAAAGUAAAG